AUUGAACGCUGGCGGCAGGCCUAACACAUGCAAGUCGAGCGGAUGAAGGGAGCUUGCUCCUGGAUUCAGCGGCGGACGGGUGAGUAAUGCCUAGGAAUCUGCCUGGUAGUGGGGGAUAACGUCCGGAAACGGGCGCUAAUACCGCAUACGUCCUGAGGGAGAAAGUGGGGGAUCUUCGGACCUCACGCUAUCAGAUGAGCCUAGGUCGGAUUAGCUAGUUGGUGGGGUAAAGGCCUACCAAGGCGACGAUCCGUAACUGGCCUGAGAGGAUGAUCAGUCACACUGGAACUGAGACACGUUCCAGACUCCUACGGGAGGCAGCAGUGGGGAAUAUUGGACAAUGGGCGAAAGCCUGAUCCAGCCAUGCCGCGUGUGUGAAGAAGGUCUUCGGAUUGUAAAGCACUUUAAGUUGGGAGGAAGGGCAGUAAGUUAAUACCUUGCUGUUUUGACGUUACCAACAGAAUAAGCACCGGCUAACUUCGUG
RNAcentral lists this ribosomal RNA (484 nucleotides) under uncultured bacterium. RNAcentral describes it as "partial 16S ribosomal RNA". It matches the Rfam family "Bacterial small subunit ribosomal RNA", at positions 30 to 507 of the family's 1533-position model. The record is from RNAcentral.